UACGGAGGGUGCAAGCGUUAAUCGGAAUUACUGGGCGUAAAGCGCGCGUAGGCGGCUUGGUCAGUUGGAUGUGAAAGCCCCGGGCUUAACCUGGGAAUUGCCUUCGAUACUGGGUUUCUUGAGUUCGGAAGAGGUUGGUGGAAUUCGUGGUGUAGCGGUGAAAUGCAUAGAGAUCACGAAGAACACCAGUGGCGAAGGCGACUUUCUGGUCUGUAACUGACGCUGAGGCGCGAAAGCGUGGGGAGCAAACAGG
This 253-nucleotide unclassified non-coding RNA is filed under the name uncultured Gammaproteobacteria bacterium. RNAcentral describes it as "contains 16S-23S intergenic spacer region". It matches the Rfam family "Bacterial small subunit ribosomal RNA", at positions 524 to 776 of the family's 1533-position model. The record is from RNAcentral. Lineage: Bacteria; Pseudomonadati; Pseudomonadota; Gammaproteobacteria.